RNAcentral lists this ribosomal RNA (1230 nucleotides) under Rhizophagus intraradices. RNAcentral's name for it is "eukaryotic LSU rRNA". It matches the Rfam family "Eukaryotic large subunit ribosomal RNA", at positions 36 to 1118 of the family's 3401-position model. Lineage: Eukaryota; Fungi; Glomeromycota; Glomeromycetes; Glomerales; Glomeraceae. The record is from RNAcentral.
AAGCAUAUCAAUAAGCGGAGGAAAAGAAAAUAACAAUGAUUCCCCUAGUAACUGCGAGUGAAGAGGGACAAGCUCAAAUUUUAAAUCCAUCGGGUUUUACCUGAUCGAGUUGUAAUUUGAAGAAGCGUUUUCUGCGUAUUUGAUCAGCCUAAGUCCUAUUGAAUGAGGCAUCACGGAGGGUGAUAAUCCCGUCCGGUUGAUCAUUUGCGUUUUACGAUACGCUUUCUAAGAGUCAAGUUGUUUGGGAUUGCAGCUUAAAAUGGGAGGUAAAUUUCUCCUAAGGCUAAAUAACGGCGAGAGACCGAUAGCGAACAAGUACCGUGAGGGAAAGAUGAAAAGAACUUUGAAAAGAGAGUUAAACAGUACGUGAAAUUGUUGAAAGGGAAACGAUUGAAGCCAGUCGUACCUUCGGGUAAUCAGCCUUUCGGGUGCGAUUCUGUGGAGUUUGAGGAGCUUUAACACCUUCAUGCUUUGCAUAUUCGUGCUCUUGGGUGUACUUGCCCGUGUGGUUGGUUAACAUCAAUUUCGGGCACCAUAAAAUGGCUGGAGGAAUGUAGCUUCGAUCUUGUAUUGAAGUGUUAUAGCCUUCGGUAGAUGUGGUGAUCGAGAUUGAGGAUUGCAACGGAUACCUUUCGGGGCUACCUGUCUGAUCUCUGAUCGUUGCUUUGGUGCUGAAAGCGUGCUUAUAGUUAUCAAAGUCGAUGGUUAAUAGGUUAGAAUGGGUUAAAUUCGUUAAGGAUGUUGACGUAAUGGCUUUAAACGACCCGUCUUGAAACACGGACCAAGGAGUCUAACAUAUAUGCGAGUGUUAGGGUGAUUAAACCCUUACGCGUAAUGAAAGUAAUUUUGGUGGGAACACUUUUGUGCACCAUCGACCGAUCAGGAUAUUUUUUGAUAGAUUUGAGUAAGAGCAUAUCUGCUAGGACCCGAAAGAUGGUGAACUAUGCCUGAAUAGGGUGAAGUCAGAGGAAACUCUGAUGGAGGCUCGUAGCGGUUCUGACGUGCAAAUCGAUCGUCAAAUUUGGGUAUAGGGGCGAAAGACUAAUCGAACCAUCUAGUAGCUGGUUCCUGCCGAAGUUUCCCUCAGGAUAGCAGAAACUCGUUAACAGUUUUAUGAGGUAAAGCGAAUGAUUAGAGGCCUUAGGGUUGAAACAGCCUUAACCUAUUCUCAAACUUUAAAUAUGUAAGAAGUUUAUCGUUACUUAAUUGAACGUGAACAUUCGAAUGAGA